This is an RNA transcript of Cynoglossus semilaevis (tongue sole), 2976 nucleotides long. It is a transcript of the gene named cerebellar degeneration-related protein 2-like, with no coding region annotated. The record is from RefSeq and is a predicted model, not a curated record. The transcript is spliced from 6 exons. Lineage: Eukaryota; Metazoa; Chordata; Actinopteri; Pleuronectiformes; Cynoglossidae.
UUUACACGAUCUUCUAAAAGAUUUCAGCGUUUUUCAACAUAUUAGGAGACAUUGCGCUGUUAUUGACUUAUAUUUUAGCUUUUUUUGUAUGUCAACUUUUAGUUGGCUUUAAGGUAAAUUAUUACUGUUUUUAAGGUGGGGUUUUAGGUGUUAAAUGUGUGUCCAAAAGUCCAUCGAAGCAAAACGUGUUUUUUUCUUCUCGUGUUCUACAGAAUAUUUUAUUUGACUUAUCCGUAGCGAAGAGCUAGCGUAACGUAUAACAUUAACGCCCACAUGUUUUCAUUACUAAUACGUACAACGAUAAAACGUUUAGACGAUAAUGAUGUAUGCUAUCUAACAAAACGGGAUAAACACGGAGCAACAUGGAUUUCCCGACUGCACCUGAACGCAGCAGCAGCAGCAGCGGUGUUGCUGAUGAUAAUCGCCCUCGACACUGAUGAGCAGCCUGGUCUUUUGUCACAGCCUGUGCUGUUACUGCUGCUCCAUAACUGGUUACGGAGCUGCAGCACCGACCGCUUCGUCUUCGAUUCGUCUUUUCCUCUUUUCCUUCUGCAGAUGCUUCGAGAAGCAGCAGCAGAAAAAGGAGGGGAAAUAAAAGCAGGUGCAUUUUCUACUGUAUAACUCAUUCUCCUCAAAGGGUUACACCGGGAGGCAGUGCGGCUCUCGUUUGUUGUCACUUCCGGCAAGAGCUGACCGUGAAUUAGCAGACCACAUACCCGGUGAAGAAGAAGAAGAAGAAGGAGACGAAGAAGGUGAAGAAGUUGCUCCGCAUCGAUGCUCCGAGCAGGCAGGAUGGAGGACUUCAUCACGGAGGACGAGGAGCCGUGGUACGACCAGCGGGACCUGGAGCAAGACCUGCACUUGGCCGCAGAGCUGGGUAAAACCCUCCUGGAACGGAACAAGGAGCUGGAGGACUCCCUUCAGCAGAUGUACAUUAACAAUGAGGAUCAAGUGCAGGAGAUAGAGUACCUCUCCAAACAGUUGGAGAUGCUGAGGGAGAUGAACGAGCAGCACGCCAAAGUGUACGAGCAGUUGGACGUGACCGCCCGAGAGCUGGAGAUCACCAACGAGAAACUGGUGCUGGAGAGCAAGGCCUCGCAGCAGAAAAUCGACAGGUUAACGGGCACCAUGGAGACGCUGCACGGUCAGGUGGACAGUCUGACCUGUCGGGUGGAGGAGCUGAGGACCCUGGAGGAGCUGAGGGUCCUCAGAGAAAAGAAGGAACGAAGGAAGACGGUUCACUCUUUUCCUUGUCUUAAAGAGCUCUGCACCGCACCCAGGUACGAGGACGGUUUCCUCCUGGCCAACCCAGGCAGUGUGGACCUGGCUGAGAAGCGGCCACUGGACGAAGAAAAUGAUCGCCUGAGAAACAUUGUCUCAUCUCUGCAUGUGGCCAUGUCUACAGAGCGAUCCAUGAGGGAGGGCGCCGAGCGUGAGUGUACGGCGGUGCUGGAGGAGUUUGAACGUCUGGAGCAACGUCUCCUUGGAGCGGAGGGCUGCCAGCUGCGCGUCCAGGAGCUGGAGGCGGAGCUUCAGGAGAUGCAGCAGCUGAGGAAGUCCAGGCUGUCCCUAUUGGUGGAUAUGGAGGAGGGUCUAGAGAAGCUGCUCAACAAUGGUCCUGAAACAGACACCCCGGAGGUGUACUCGGGGCAAGAAGAGGGUGGGGGAGGUGCUGCCGGAGAGGCAGGAGGUCCGGGGCAGCAGGGAGGACCCGUGAGGAAAAGCUGCAGCGACACGGCUCUGAACGCCAUCACGGCUCGUGAUGCUUCAGGCAGACGCCACGGCAGCUACGCCAUGCACGCCAACGGGGUGCGAAAACGAGGCAUGUCCAUCCUGAGCGAGGUGGACGAGCAGUACCACGCCCUGUUGGAGAAGUACGAGGAGCUGCUGGGAAAAUGUCGGCGUCACGAGGAGAGCCUGUGCCACGCGGGUGUACAGACCUCCCGGCCCGUCUCCAGAGACCCCUCCAUGAAGGAGUACAAUAUGGUCACUGCAGGUCCUUCCACAUCAUCAGGAGCUGCUGCUGCCUCGCCACCCACACCCCCGCAAACUCCCUCCACCCCAGAGGCUCUGGAGGGGAUCAGCAGGCAGGUGGAGCAGGUGGACAAACGUCUGAGCCAGAACACACCAGAGUACAAGGCGCUCUUCAAGGAGAUCUUCUCCCGUCUGCAGAAGACCAAGAGUGACGUAAAAUCCAGCAAAAGCAGAAAAACUCACAAAUGAGCUGGAGGACAAAACAGAAAAAGACGCGUGUCCAUUUCCCUUCACAUUUUUUUUUUUAAACUACUGUCUUCUGUGGUCACCAUUAACAGACCAGGAAUCCAAAGCUUGUUUGAAUUAAUUUAAGCUGCCAAAAGUUGAAGAUGUGUUGACAUGGAUGGAUGUUUUCCCCCCUGAAUGGCUGUAGAUGACAAAUAAUUAGAACUAAAGGUCUGUAAGAACAACCCAGUGUGAGAAAUACUCUGUAAGUAUGUCAUAGAGACGCCGUUUACUAACAGUGGAAAAUAAAUAAGCCAAAAAUAAAAUAGGUGGGAAGGACAAAUUGUUUACAUGUGAUUCUAAUAAAUUCUUUGAAAGCUAAAAAAAAAAAAGUCAGAUAAAUACAUUUGGCAACACAUUCUUAGGUCCCAACCUAGGUUGAAGUUUAUCUGUAAUUCUUUUUUUUUUUAUCUUACCCAUUUAUUACAUAUUCAUGGUCACAUAUUCACUUGUUGCUGUGUUGCAGGAGCGCUAACCACCCUCUGCUAAGUGACAAGGAAAGAAAAAAGAAAGAGUAAGGAGAACAUAACCCAAGGACACGUGGAGGCCUGGUGUGAACACUUUAAUGUGAACACAGGAUGUCACUAAACUGCAGGUAAUACAAGUAGCACAAAUGCCGAGUCUGACCCAGUCCUGGAAUGACAGCAAUCACUGAUGCCUGGGAAUGAGGCUGCAGAUACAGACGACAUUCAUUUACUCAUGGAGUGUAUAAUAAAA